Molecule: ribosomal RNA, 422 nt
Filed under: uncultured bacterium
Lineage: Bacteria
Description: bacterial SSU rRNA
Rfam family: Bacterial small subunit ribosomal RNA
Source: RNAcentral
UGAGGAAUAUUGUUCAAUGGGCGCAAACCUGAACCAGCCAUGCCGCGUGCAGGAAGACGGUCCUAUGGAUUGUAAGCUGCUUUUACUUGGGAAUAAACCUCUUUACGUGUAGAGAGCUGAAGGUACCAAAUGAAUAAGCACCGGCUAACUCCGUGCCACCAGCCGCGGUAAUACGGAGGGUGCAAGCGUUAUCCGGACUCAUUGUGUUCAAAGGGUCCGCAGGCGGUCUUAUAAGUCAGUGGUGAAAGCCUACAGCUCAACUGUAGAACUGCCAUUGAUACUGUAAGGCUUGAAUUCGGUCGAAGUGGGAGGAAUAUGACAUGUAGCGGUGAAAUGCUUAGAUAUGUCAUAGAACACCGAUGGCGAAGGCAGCGCACUAGGUCGGGAUUGACGCUCAGGAACGAAAGCGUGGGGAGCAAACA